Molecule: non-coding RNA, 111 nt
Organism: Dentipellis sp. KUC8613
Lineage: Eukaryota; Fungi; Basidiomycota; Agaricomycetes; Russulales; Hericiaceae
Source: the annotation of a GenBank genome assembly
GCCCGCCUAGCUCAAUCGGAUAGAGCGUCAGACUCUUACACAGGCGGGUUCAUUCCUGAAUCCAAUGGUACCGGAAUCUGAAGGCUGCGAGUUCGACCCUCGCGGUGGGCU